RNAcentral lists this long non-coding RNA (2181 nucleotides) under Mus musculus (house mouse). RNAcentral's name for it is "long non-coding RNA chr2:9690500-9692681". The record is from RNAcentral. Lineage: Eukaryota; Metazoa; Chordata; Mammalia; Rodentia; Muridae.
GCUUGUUACUCUCUGAGCCAUCUCUCUGGCCCAUACUUUAGUUUUUGUUUGGAAAAUGACUUUAAAAAUUACGUAAGUACAUUGACCUCAUUAGUCAUAUGUAGGGCUAUUUAUGUUUGAGUCCUGUGAAAGUUGGUGCUUUUAUUUUGCUUUGCUCUUAGUGAAAUCUUCUCCAUGACCUCCCAUUCCAUCUGUGCUUGUGAGGGUUCGUAAAGGAUAGCCAACGAGGGUUGAGAGUAAUCAGCACUGCAGGGCAAGCUGAUCUCAGAUCAAUAAAGAGGUUUUCACCCUCAUAUCAUAUCCCAUCCUGACAGCCUAUGAGUCUAGGAAAAGAAAACAUUUCAGGGUGGGUGGAGAUUCCUUGCAUCUCCUUCUCAUCCUUCACAUUGCCCCUGGCUCUGGAGGGUCUUCCCUACCCGCACUGAUGUUCUUUAUCCUUCCUGAAUACUUCCUAAGGAUGAUGUUCAUAAUCACCACCAUAGCAACUAAGUGUUGACCAACCAACCUACACCAGGGACUCAUCAUCAGUUGUCAUGCUUCUGUCACACACUACCCUCUGAGAUGUAUACAGUAUUUGUGCCCCUUGCCUAGGCUGAACUGAGGCACAGUCUUUUGAGGGAGGACACACUCUAGCUGUGGAGUAACAGUUGGGGUUUGUUAAAAGAAUGUGCGAAUGGCAAAUUCUCUGUGUUGAAGUCCUUUCUGUUUAUUUGAGGCAGGGUCUCUUGUAGCCCGCAUUGGCUGUGAACUGGCUGAGACUGAGGAUGGCUUUGAACUCUGUAUCCACUUGAUCCACCUUUGGAAUGCUGCAAUUUCAGUCAUGUGCAUCACCAGGACUAAUAUGGUGCUAGAGGUUGACUUGAGGGCCCUUAGAAUGUUAGGACAGUAUUCUCUCAACUGAGCUGCAUCUCCACUUUAGAUUUUUCUGUUGAAUAUAUCCCACUUGUUCUAUUUGCUGUAUUAAAUCCUGGCUUAAUCACCUACAAAGGACCUUCCUCUGAAUCCUGAUUAGUUUAGCCAUCUACAAAGAAAGGGCCUUCCUCUGAAUUAUUUUAUCAAAUAUUUAACAGCCACAGACAAUUUACUGUGGGUUAAAGGAACAUGCGGUAGACUGAGCUCCAAGACUGGAACUGAGCAUCUCAUACUUUGUAUGUUCUUAUAGAACCCUAGCCACACCCAGGAAACAAUAGCAGCCUCUGUUUUGUUCGACAGAGAAGCUGGUUCAGCACAAAGCAUACGUUGCUACGUUGCCCCGGCUACUCUAACACUCACAUUUUGGUUUCUUCUCCUGCACUGAUGCCUGAUGCUCCAAGUCUCCAGGAAAACAAAGAAGAUUAAGGAGAGAUCCAAAGUGUUGCAACAAGUCUCCCUGACUCAGUAUUCAGAUGUCCCUUGGGACUGUUCUCACAUCCUUCUCAGAUGCCCCUCAGGACCCCCUCCCACACACACCUGACUUUUCUACCAAUGCGUCCCCAGUGUCUUCCAGGCCCACAGAAAGUCAGUCUUCGGAAAAACCUUCUCCAAACGCUGAACUUGGCUCAGGCUCUCCUCAAUUCUGCCUCAGAACAACCGCAUGAAAUGGAAAGUAUCUGUUUACACGUCUGCCCGCCUCACUAGAGGGUGAGGACAUCAGAGGCAGAGCUGGAUCUUAUACAUUUCAGCAUCUCACUGCCUGGCCUCAUGCCAGUACAUAGUGGGUGCUCGAUGAACGUCUGUGUAAUCUACCUGUAAGUGAACCACUGGACAAUUGGACCAAAGCUGCUUUUCCCACCCCAUCUGUUUCCAUGCCUACUACAUAGCAGGUUUUCAGACUCACUUUGCAGAAGGACCAGGAUGAAGAUGUUAAAGCAUGCAUCCUUAGGCCCCUGCCCAGAAAUCAGAACCUGCACCCUCCCCCAACAUGCAGACAAGUAACCAGGUUUUAGAGUCAUUGCUUACACCAUGUGGCCAGAGACAGCUGAACCAAGCAGGGGUGGGGUGGGGGAGGUCUAGAUGUGCUAUAGCCAGAGGGGAGGGGUAAGAAACAGAAAGAAAUGUCUCAUCAGAAGUGCUGGAAUUUUAGUUUUUUUAGUGCAAACAACCUCAAGCAAGAUAAAUGAGGUCAAAGAAUUUAGUGCAAAACUCCAGAGCCCCUAUCAACCACCUCAUUCCAUCUCUUUCAAGAAAACAAGUUUGAAAGAG